UACGGAAGGCAGCAGUGGGGAAUAUUGCACAAUGGGCGCAAGCCUGAUGCAGCCAUGCCGCGUGUAUGAAGAAGGCCUUCGGGUUGUAAAGUACUUUCAGUCGUGAGGAAGGUGUUAAGGUUAAUAACCUUAGCAAUUGACGUUAGCGACAGAAGAAGCACCGGCUAACUCCGUGCCAGCAGCCGCGGUAAUACGGAGGGUGCGAGCGUUAAUCGGAAUUACUGGGCGUAAAGGGCACGCAGGCGGUUAUUAAGUUGGAUGUGAAAUCCCCGGGCUUAACCUGGGAAUGGCAUUCAAGACUGGUUAGCUAGAGUCUUGUAGAGGGGGUAGAAUUCCAUGUGUAGCGGUGAAAUGCGUAGAGAUGUGGAGGAAUACCGGUGGCGAAGGCGGCCCCUGGACAAAGGACUGACGCUCAUGUGCGAAAGCUGGGGAGCAAACAGGGAUUAGAUACCCGUCUGAAGACUCCCAAGGGCACACAAGGGGAAUAGG
RNAcentral lists this ribosomal RNA (489 nucleotides) under uncultured bacterium. RNAcentral describes it as "bacterial SSU rRNA". It matches the Rfam family "Bacterial small subunit ribosomal RNA", at positions 340 to 819 of the family's 1533-position model. The record is from RNAcentral.